Molecule: transfer RNA, 96 nt
Filed under: Actinoplanes couchii
Lineage: Bacteria; Bacillati; Actinomycetota; Actinomycetes; Micromonosporales; Micromonosporaceae
Description: tRNA-Gly
Source: RNAcentral
GGCCGCCGUUGGCCGGCAGGUACAGCGGCAGCAGGCUGCCCAUCUGCGGGCAGUGCCCGGUCGGCAGAUACCGGUUCUUCACCCGGUCGGCAAGCA